This 499-nucleotide ribosomal RNA is filed under the name uncultured bacterium. RNAcentral's name for it is "partial 16S ribosomal RNA". It matches the Rfam family "Bacterial small subunit ribosomal RNA", at positions 30 to 523 of the family's 1533-position model. The record is from RNAcentral.
AUUGAACGCUGGCGGAAUGCUUUACACAUGCAAGUCGAACGGCAGCAAGGACUUCGGUCUGGUGGCGAGUGGCGAACGGGUGAGUAAUGUAUCGGAACGUGCCCAGUCGUGGGGGAUAACGUAGUGAAAAUUACGCUAAUACCGCAUACGAUCUAUGGAUGAAAGCGGGGGAUCGCAAGACCUCGCGCGAUUGGAGCGGCGGAUAUCAGAUUAGGUAGUUGGUGGGGUAAAGGCCCACCAAGCCAACGAUCUGUAGCUGGUCUGAGAGGACGACAGCCACACUGGAACUGAGACACGGUCCAGACUCCUACGGGAGGCAGCAGUGGGGAAUUUUGGACAAUGGGCGAAAGCCUGAUCCAGCCAUUCCGCGUGCAGGAUGAAGGCCCUCGGGUUGUAAACUGCUUUUGUACAGAACGAAAAGGCUCUGGUUAAUACCUGGGGCUCAUGACGGUACCGUAAGAAUAAGCACCGGCUAACUACGUGCCAGCCGCCGCCGUAA